UAUUGAGUAAUGAUGAGGCUUUUAUGUGGACUAGAGUUUCUGAUCUCCGGCCAUUCUUAUGUGUUGGAGAUUGAAGACUAACCCUUGGCUGUCUGAUCUCAAUC
Small nucleolar RNA from Zingiber officinale, 104 nucleotides. RefSeq annotates it as small nucleolar RNA Z157/R69/R10. The record is from RefSeq and is a predicted model, not a curated record. Lineage: Eukaryota; Viridiplantae; Streptophyta; Magnoliopsida; Zingiberales; Zingiberaceae. The transcript has a single exon.